CGGGAUGGCGGGUCCGUCGCUUCCGUGCGUAAUGAGGCGGAAGAGGAAAGUCCGGGCAACAAAGAGCACCGCACUCCCCUCGGGGAGCUAUCGGCAACGGUAGAGUAACGUGACAGAAAACAACCGCCCAAGCGGCCCUCGGGCCGACGGCAAGGGUGAAAAGGCGGGGUAAGAGCCCACCGGACGCCACAGCGAUAUGGCGUGCCGCAUGUCUUGCGGGUUGCAAGGUCAAGUAUACCGGCAGGGAGCUUCGGCUCCACCGGGCUGCUCGCCCGGUGCCGGGGGGUAGACUGCUCAGAUAAAUGACGGACGGGCCGGCGAGGCUCCCUCCCUUCGGGGCAGGGACAGCACGCCGCCCACAUAACCCGGCUUAUACGCUGUCCCGCGUG
This 389-nucleotide RNase P RNA is filed under the name Muribaculaceae bacterium. RNAcentral describes it as "RNase P RNA component class A". It matches the Rfam family "Bacterial RNase P class A". From Rfam's summary of the family: Ribonuclease P (RNase P) is a ubiquitous endoribonuclease, found in archaea, bacteria and eukarya as well as chloroplasts and mitochondria. The record is from RNAcentral. Lineage: Bacteria; Pseudomonadati; Bacteroidota; Bacteroidia; Bacteroidales; Muribaculaceae.